UACGAAGGGGGCUAGCGUUGUUCGGAUUUACUGGGCGUAAAGCGCACGUAGGCGGACUUUUAAGUCAGGGGUGAAAUCCCAGAGCUCAACUCUGGAACUGCCUUUGAUACUGGAAGUCUUGAGUAUGGUAGAGGUGAGUGGAAUUCCGAGUGUAGAGGUGAAAUUCGUAGAUAUUCGGAGGAACACCAGUGGCGAAGGCGGCUCACUGGACCAUUACUGACGCUGAGGUGCGAAAGCGUGGGGAGCAAACAGG
RNAcentral lists this ribosomal RNA (253 nucleotides) under uncultured bacterium. RNAcentral describes it as "partial 16S ribosomal RNA". It matches the Rfam family "Bacterial small subunit ribosomal RNA", at positions 524 to 776 of the family's 1533-position model. RNAcentral also lists the same sequence under 3 other names. The record is from RNAcentral.